This 56-nucleotide transfer RNA is filed under the name Atheta gagatina. RNAcentral's name for it is "tRNA-Trp". Lineage: Eukaryota; Metazoa; Arthropoda; Insecta; Coleoptera; Staphylinidae. The record is from RNAcentral.
AAGGAUUUAAGUUAAUUUAAACUCGUAGCCUUCAAAGCUCCAAAUAAAGAUUCUUG